GAUCUAAAAUGAAAACAUCAUAUCAUUGACACCACAAAUCAAUAUUUUUAUUAAACUAUUUAGAUA
This 66-nucleotide transfer RNA is filed under the name Dolichopus galeatus. Its description in RNAcentral is "tRNA-His". The record is from RNAcentral. Lineage: Eukaryota; Metazoa; Arthropoda; Insecta; Diptera; Dolichopodidae.